Non-coding RNA from Phoenix dactylifera (date palm), 829 nucleotides. The record is from RefSeq and is a predicted model, not a curated record. Lineage: Eukaryota; Viridiplantae; Streptophyta; Magnoliopsida; Arecales; Arecaceae.
AAAUAUAUCUCAAGAAAAGUUUGACACAUGGAUGGCCUGUUUGGGAAGCUUUUGCCAGAUCUACGGCGAGAUGCCCAGGAAUACAGCUGGGAACGGGAGCGGGUAGAGCGGGUCGCGGAGCAUCCAAGAAGCUUCUUUGCGUGCUUGUAUGACAGCAUAAUAAGGGAUAUGUGCGCAAAUAGAUGGGGAUGAGAAGAAAUCAUGACACAAAUCUCAAUCAACUGCCCUCUCCAAUCCUACACAACAAGGAAAGGAUGAGCUCCCUCCACCAUACAAUCACAAAUUUAUGGCUGGUUCAUGUGUGGUUGGGGAUGCCCGCCGGGGGACCCCGAGACGGAGGUGGCUCCCCAAUCCUUGCUCAAAUACGAUAACUCCCCAGUCCUUGGUGAAGGUGGGAUUUGAAGCCUCUAGUAUAACUACCACGAGACUUUACUAGCUAUCCAGGAUGCUGCAUUCCACCCGCGGAAUGUGGCUUCACCUUUCAGAGUGCCCUCGUCUGGACUAAGCCCACCACCUUGACUUCAAACAAUACCGACUGUAAUACUUGGCAAAACAACCCUUCCACCCUCUGCUACGACCGCGAGUGUUACACAGCUAGUACCAUUGCCAGCAUUAGGAAUGACCGAAAGGAGGUUCUUGCUCUUGCAUAAAGCUAAGAGUUGGUAGGCUAUCUCAUUGGCGACAUGUCAUCUCCGACUGCUGUACUUCCAGUAGCAGAUGGAUCGAAUGCUGCCCCUGCUCCAAACCCUGAGUACCAGAAAUGAAAAACUACUGAUCGUUUUCUUAAAGGGUGGAUCAUUGGAACUCUGUCCAAGGAAGCUCUUGGCAU